UCCUGAGCCAGGAUCAAAGUCUAGCUAAGGAGGUGAUCCAGCCGCAGACUCUGAGCCAGGAUCGAAGUCUCGCUAAGGAGGUGAUCCAGCCGCACUGAGCCAGGAUCAAAGUCUAGCCAGGAUCAAACUCCUGAGCCAGGAUCAAAGUCUAGCCAAGGAGGUGAUCCAGCCGCACUGAGCCAGGAUCAAAGUCUAAGGAGGUGAUCCAGCCGCACUGAGCCAGGAUCAAAGUCUAGCUAAGGAGGUGAUCCAGCCGCACCUGAGCCAGGAUCAAAGUCUAGCUAAGGAGGUGAUCCAGCCGCAGACUCUGAGCCAGGAUCAAAGUCUAAGGAGGUGAUCCAAAUCGGAUCCCGGGCCCGUCGACUGCAGAGGCCUGCAUGCAAGCUUUCCCUAUAGUGAGUCGUAUUAGAGCUUGGCGUAAUCAUGGUCAUAGCUGUUUCCUGUGUGAAAUUGUUAUCCGCUCACAAUUCCACACAACAUACGAGCCGGAAGCAUAAAGUGUAAAGCCUGGGGUGCCUAAUGAGUGAGCUAACUCACAUUAAUUGCGUUGCGCUCACUGCCCGCUUUCCAGUCGGGAAACCUGUCGUGCCAGCUGCAUUAAUGAAUCGGCCAACGCGCGGGGAGAGGCGGUUUGCGUAUUGGGCGCUCUUCCGCUUCCUCGCUCACUGACUCGCUGCGCUCGGUCGUUCGGCUGCGGGCCACCGGUAUCAGCUCACUCAAAGGGGGUAAUACGGUCAUUCUUUCAAUCACGGGAUUACGCAGCAACAGAACAUGUGCGCUAAAAGGUCCGCCUAAUGGCCAGGAUUUUCUUAAAAAGUUCUCGCUGCUGGUCUUCUCUUUACAGGGAAU
Molecule: ribosomal RNA, 849 nt
Filed under: uncultured bacterium
Lineage: Bacteria
Description: partial 16S ribosomal RNA
Source: RNAcentral